GGUCAUGGCUCAGUGGUAGACUGCUUGCCUGAUAUGUAUGAGCCACUGGGUUCAAUCCUCAGCACCA
Molecule: transfer RNA, 67 nt
Filed under: Marmota monax (woodchuck)
Lineage: Eukaryota; Metazoa; Chordata; Mammalia; Rodentia; Sciuridae
Description: tRNA.Ile
Source: RNAcentral